GUUUUCCCUCCACCCAAAACACACUCCUUCACUCUCCACUUUUCUCUCUCCCAUUUUUCUGUCUUCUCUCUCCCGUUCAGUCUUCUUUCUCCAUUCAAACCCUAACCGCAUCUGCCCCAUUUCUCUAUCUUAUUUACGGCCACCACCACCUGUAAUGAAAAAACCAAAGUCAUAUUCGUACUCUUCAUCUCAUGGACUUCCUAAUCAACCAAUUGGAAUUUUGUUUCAAACAACUUCGCAGAGACCACCGUUUCUCCAUCUCUAAUCGAUUCGGUAAGAACGAUAACCCUUUCUCCUUCUCCGACCAGCUUACAUUCCUAUUAACAUAACAAGGUUGGGUAUUUCGUCUUUUCAACGGGGAAAGUCAUUAUUGGAGCCGAUUCUCGAACUGGCACUGGUGUAUAUGUUGCAAAUCGUGCAUUUGAUAAAGUCACACAACUUACUGUUAAUGUCUACGUUUUCCGAUCUGGAUCGGUAUUUUUCUUUCUCUAUCUCACACCAUUCAUUUGUUAUGUGGCUAUUAUUACUAUCUUAAAUUUGAUUUCAUGUUUCUCUUAUUUUGAAUCUUUACCUGCAGUAUUCAGUGGAAUUAUGCAUUGACUUUUCAGAUCCCACAAUUUAUUUAGUUCAUAUUAUUUUCAGCAAAAGGGAAUUAUCUGUUUUGUUAACUGAAAAAAUGGCAGAGGAUUGAGCUUUUCGCUGUUUGUUAUGUAAUUGUAAUUCUUUUUGGUUGUUCUUGCCAUGAUAAAUAUGGUUAUCUCAAGAUUUAUUUUGCUAAUAGAUGCAAACCAAUAACAUUAUUCUCUUCAAACUGAACAUUAUAAAUCAUCAAGGUUCAAAAUUGUAGCUUGAGAAACUUUACCGAGAGAGCUCCAUACCUCAAUCUGUUGUAUUUAUUUAUUGAGUAAAUUACUUUAUCUUUUAACAAUAAUUAAGUAAACUAUUUCUUUUUCCAAGCUGCAUAUUCUCAGGUUGUCUCUCACUAUGUCCGCUAUUUCCUCCGUCAACACACAGCCUAUGAGACUGCUACGAGACUAUUGUUGGAUGAGAAGACAAUUCAAAAAAUAGGCCCAAGAUUUGGAGGGUGUAUGAGAGGUAGUCUAAAAGGAAUGAUGAGGUGGCAAAGAGAGAAGUGUGUGAUGGAUGAAUGCCUUUUCUAAUAUAUUAGGAAUAUGGUUGAGGAGAGUGAAUGAAUGCCUUUUGAGGCUUUUUAUUUUCAAUUAGAGUGGUAUUGUUGAGUUUCAGUAGAUUGGAAAUGAUGGUGUUGAUGUUACAGUUCCUGACCAAUUAGUGUUUCUAGAUUCUUUCAUUUGCAAAUGGAUUUACAUCCUUCACUAAUGCACCUUGUCUACUAAAGCUUCAAUGCUAUUGCAAAGUAAGUAUGUUUUUUACAUUGCACUUUUGUUGCUGACAUAGGUUCUUUAUUUAUUCAGUAUCUUAUCUUUGUUCUUUUAUUCUUUUUCAACAACUUUGCAGCCUCGGCUCUUUGUUGGAAUAUGAAUGCAAGAAGGUCCAAUUUCAUUGUUCAAUUAAGAGAAUUGAAUUUGAUUCUUUAAUCAUUAGUAAUCAUAUUCACUGGUCAAAUCUCCUUUUUAUUUUAGAAACUAAUACAUCUUCCAAAUUUUCUAUAUUAUCAUGGAUCCUCAACACUAUUAUUUCAUGAAAUUGUAUGAAACCACAUUAAACAUUGAGUUCUCAAUUCAAGUUACAUCCCUUACCUUUUGAGUGAAAACAUUGAUGCUGGGGUAUGCCAUUGCUGAGAUAUUCUAUCAAGCAUUUAAAACAAGAUAUGGAAAUGGAUUUGGAGGUAUUAUUUGUUUAGGAAUUGUUGCAGUCGCCAUUUUUUCUGUGGCAUGAAAUUGUACAGAAUGGCCUAUGCUUUCUCAAGAGACGGUGCCAUGCCAUUUUCAUCUUUGUGGCAUAAAGUUAACAAGCAGGAUGUUCCUAUAUAUGCAGUUUGGCUUUCUGUUAAUAUAUCAUUUUGCAUGGCCUUAACGGGAUCCAAUAUUAUUGUAUUUGAUCUCUUAAUAAUUUAUUUCAUUCUAACUCAAUUUUAACAAUUUAUAUAAACUACAGUCUCUUGGAAGUAUAGUGGCCUUUGAAGCUAUAUUGUCGGUGUCGCGGUUGGAAUACUGUUGUCUGGGCUUGCUCCCUUGAUCGUCUUGAAUUGCCUUCAAAGUCAUUCCAUCUUUCAAAUUACUCAGAUUCACCUCGCUUAUCAGAAUAUGGUUCGGAUAUUUUCAGCAAGCGGGAAGUUAUAAAGAAACUGCAGCAACAGUUUAAGAGAAGAAACUGCGGCAAAAGUUAUACAAAAACUGCGGCAAGCGGGAUAUUUUAACUCUGUUUUCUUACACAUUUUCAAAUCUUAUACUCAGUACAAUUAACCUUUCUAUAAAACAAAAUAUACAUGUGUAUUGAUUGAUCUCUUAGAAAAGAAUACACAUUUUCUAAUCUUAUACUCAGUACAGUUAACCUAUCCUGAUGCGGUGAAAUUGCAUUUUUUAAUUCAUGCUGUUAUAAUCUUGAAUACUAUAAUCAUGAAUACUACAUUGCAAGAUACA
Molecule: long non-coding RNA, 2561 nt
Organism: Vicia villosa (hairy vetch)
Lineage: Eukaryota; Viridiplantae; Streptophyta; Magnoliopsida; Fabales; Fabaceae
Exons: 3
Source: RefSeq, a predicted model, not a curated record